AUGAACGACUAUGCCACGUGUUUGUUUACUGUGCCGAAGGGAAAAUUAAAAACGCGUCCAGCCUCCUCCUCCCCUUUUCUCUCUCUCUCUCGUUUUCCACCCCAGCUAGGGUUGCCGCCGCCGCCGCCCCAUCGCUCCUCGUCGACCUGGAAGCUUGAGGCGUCGCCGCCGCGGUCAGACGAGCCGCCGACGGACGCGGGGAGGAGGAGCUCGUCGGGGGCGUUCCCGCGCAAGCUGGGCGCCAGCCUGUGGGAGAUACGGGACGUCGUCAGGGCCGUGGGCGCUGGCCGCCGGAUCCGCAGGCGCGCGCGGAGGGGGCCGGCCGCACCCCCCUGCCGCGACAGCGACGACGACGACGUCGAUCGAUCGGGUGAGAAGUCCGCUACCGCCCUCUGUUUUUUCAUUGUCAACAUCGGUUGCGGUCUGUCCUUGCAGUCUUUCCCAAAGCUCCGUACAUACUCUACACUGGCAUCAUGUGUCAUUGUCGCUGAAUUUUCAGUGGAUCAAUAUGUUAGAAUUAGUUCCUAA
RNAcentral lists this ribosomal RNA (528 nucleotides) under Triticum aestivum (bread wheat). Its description in RNAcentral is "partial small subunit ribosomal RNA". Lineage: Eukaryota; Viridiplantae; Streptophyta; Magnoliopsida; Poales; Poaceae. The record is from RNAcentral.